CUUUUUGGGGAAAUUGAAAGUCGUGCCUGCCCACUGAUGGAUUUAAAGGGCCGCGGUAUUUUGACCGUGCAAAGGUAGCAUAAUCAUUAGUCUUUUAAUUGUAGGCUGGAAUGAAUGGUUUGACGAAAUAGUUAUUGUCUCAUAAUUAAUUAUUGAAUUUUACUUUUGAGUUAAAAGGCUCAAGUAAGGAUGGGGGACGAGAAGACCCUAUAGAUCUUUAUAUUUUGAAUGUAAAUAUUUAUAUUGUUAGUUGUUUAUUUAUUUUUAAUAAGAAAUAUUUUGUUGGGGUGACGAGGGAAUAGAAAAACUUCUUUGUAAUUAACUUUAAUAAAUGGUUAUAUGAUCCUUUAAUAUGGAAUGUAGAUUAAGAUACCUUAGGGAUAACAGCGUAAUUUUGUUGGAGAGUUCUUAUUGAUAAUGAAGAUUGCGACCUCGAUGUUGGAUUAAGAAUAUUUGUUGGUGAAGAAGUUAAUAUGGUUAGUCUGUUC
This 488-nucleotide ribosomal RNA is filed under the name Taciturna sp. Mau. RNAcentral describes it as "partial 16S ribosomal RNA". It matches the Rfam family "Archaeal large subunit ribosomal RNA", at positions 1923 to 2651 of the family's 2987-position model. Lineage: Eukaryota; Metazoa; Arthropoda; Insecta; Orthoptera; Gryllidae. The record is from RNAcentral.